CAAUAAGCAAAAGAGAGGGAAAUUAAAUUGCCUCAGCGGAGCGGACAGCCCGGUAAUUAUUCGCUGGCUGCCCCCGCGCUUCGAGCGGGAAACGGCGGCGGCGCCGGAGAUGGCGGGCAUUCCGGGAGCGGCCGGCGGCGGGCACGCGGAGAGGCGAGUUGCGGGCGGCGCAAGGGCGGCGGCGCCGGGCGGUCGAUCUGGGGGGAGCGGUGGCGCGGGUGUGGCGGCGGGGGUCGCGCAGGAUGGAGGCUCCUCGGUGGAUGGCGGCGCGCAAGGCCGUGCCUCAGUGGGGAGGCAUCACCGGAGUUCUGUUCCAGAUGAAAGGGAGCCAAAACUAGGUCGUGUGAGUGCUUAUGAGAAAUCGUUGAAAAAGUAUGUUGAUAAGAAGUCCAAUGUUGUCAUCAAUCCAGAAGUAGGCAUGUCUUUCGACCAUGGUUCUUAAGGCGUCGCCUAGGCGUCGCCUAGUCGUCCAGGCGCUCAAAAAUCCAAGGCGUCCGCCGACGCCAUGCCAAAAGAGAAGCAAACUGAGAGGGAGGGUGAGGGAGGAGGGAGAGGAAGAGGAGGGGAAGGAUUUCGACGAUCUGCGGGGGAAGGGGAACAAGAGGGAGGGGGUGGCGGCCUACCUGAGCAUGGUGAGGAAGGUGGGAGAGGGAGCGCCGACGAGCUUCGGCGGCGCGAGGGCCUAGCGAUGGCGCGCGGGUCCGGUAGUGGUGUCGCGCGGGGCCGGCGGCGGCGUCUGGCGGAGCAGCAAGGGCGGGCCGGCGGCGCGAAGGGAGAGGGAGAGCUGAGAGGGCAGAGGGCUGGGCAGAGGGCAACGGCGGCGCGGAUGAGGAGCUCAUCGAGUGGGAGAGGGUUCUGGAGGGUGGAGAUGCUAUUGUUGGGCUGGGCCUAACUGUUGGGCUGGGCAGCAGCCUGUACCUUGCCCUCUUCUUUGCCUUUUUUACUCUUUUUAUUUCCUAUUUCUUUUCAUUUCCUCCCUGUGGCAUAUGGGUAAGGCGUCGCCUUGCUCGCCUAGGCGUCCGCCUAGGCGUCGCCUCGUCUUGCAGACGGGGUCGCUCGCCGUGCCUCGCCUUAACGCUUUAAGAACUAUGCUUUCGACUCCUGUGCUGAUGCAUAUGACUUCUGCAACCUGUAUUCCUGGGAGCUGCGGUUUGGAAUACGAUGGAAUAACAGCACUAAGAAUGCAGAGGAAAGUGUUAUGGUGCAAGAGAUAGUCUGCAGCUGCGAGGGCAAACAAGAGCUGUCCAGCGCUGCAUCAGUGAGAACUGAUUGCAAGGCUAGGAUACAGCUACACAAAUCUGAUGACAAUGGAUGGUACAUCCUGGAACUCCGAGGUCAUCACAAUCAUCCCCUCUUUGGGGCAUGCAGUGAAAGCUUGAUUUGGUCUUCUCACAAAUAUCUCGAGCCCUACACUAAGGAUAUGGUACGCCAUCUUAGGGAUAGCAAUGUUGACCUUAGGAAAAUGCACUAUGUCAUUUGCAGCUUUUUCCGGGGCCAUGAAGAAAGUCCUGUUCAAUAAGCGGGCUUUGCAGUCGUUAUGUGACUCUAUAGCCAAGGAACUCACAGAAGAUUAUAUAUGCAAGGCUAUUGAGUUGUUUGAUGACUUUGGUUCGUUGAGGAGGGAUGAUCCAAGCUUCCAAUUUCGUGUUGAGUUUGAUUAUACUACGAGCCAGUUUAAGACAGUGUUAUGGACGAAUGGGCGUAGCAGGAUGCAAUAUGCACAGUUCGGUGAUGCUAUAACAUUUGAUACAACAUAUAGAAGUAAGCUGUAUGACAUGCCUUUUGGCUUGUUUGUUGGUGUUAAUAAUCAUUACCAAAGUGUCAUACUAGGAGGAGUGCUGAUGCGACAUGAGACAGUUGAAAGUUUCAAAUGGGUGUUCCAUGAGUUUGUUACUUUAAUGGGGGGUAAAGCUCCAAGUACUAUUCUCACAGGCCAAUGUAAUGUGAUGGAGGUUGCAAUCCAGGAGGUGCUACCAGAUACGACUCACAGAUGGUGUAAGGUGCAUGUGCUGAGCAAGGAGAAUGAAUUCCUUGGGCCGAUUUGCUCAAAGAAGAGUGGAUUUAAGGAUGACUUCCAAAAGAUCACUGAUAGCAUGUUGACAGUUAGAGAGUUCGAGUCUGCUUGGAAGCAUCUUCUAGAUAAGUACAACUUGCAUGGCAAUGCAUUCCUUUCUCAGAUUUAUGAUUCUCGACAUAAAUGGGCGAAGCCAUACUUCAAAGGGAAGUUCUGUGCCAAACAGACUAGUAUGCAAAGAAAUGAGUGUGCGGACUACAUGUUUAAGGGUUAUGUGCCACAGAAUAGAUCUAUCAACAUGUUUGUAUGACACUACAACAAGCUCCAAUCUUAUCUUGAUUCAAAGGAAAGCUUCGAGGAGAGUAGGAGUGCGAAGAGGCCCAGAGUUAUGAGCAAGGGAGUUCCAGUUGAAGAGCAUGCUGCAAAGAUCUAUACAAGGGCUAUGUUUGAAAAUUUUGACGAAAUAAUUUUCCAGUCUGGUUCUUAUGUGGUGGAUGAAAAGGAGAGAGGGAAGACAUAUUUAGCAAGGCACAUCAGGAGUGACUGCCGGGAGAGUUGGUCACAGGUGGAGUUUGAAGUUACCAUUAGGGCUGAAGAUGGUGCGGUUGUUUGUGAGUGUGGAUUGGGGGAGCACUUGGGGAUGCCUUGCUGCCAUGCUGUGAAGGUGAUGAUACACUUGGGAAUGCUAGAGAUUCCAGCUGGAAAUAUUGUGGAGCGUUGGACGAUGCAUGCAAGGGAUAAUUUGCCAGCUCACAUGAUUGAGCUUGAGAAUGAUAAGGCAGCAGAGAGCUCACUGUGGUAUAUACAGUCAGAGUUCUUCUUCCAUGCCUUGGAGUUUAUGAAGUCUUGUCGGGCUUUUGAAGUAGUAGGGUUGGCAGAUCUGGUUCAACUUAAGCAGGAACUUCUGGAGCUGAAUCAAGUUAAGGAUGUUUCUGUGUUGUCCGAACAGUGCAGCCAUCCUGCCGCCCAAGGUUCUAAUGUGCAAGGCAUGUCUGCUGCAGCUAUAGAUGAUGCUAUCUCGGCAGCUAAGAAACAGAAAUAUGAAGCAGAGGCACCUGAUCUUAAAUGCAAGAUGGUGCAGCGUACCUAGGCAAAAGGGCCCCAAUAGAUGUCAAAUCUUUGUGGGGUUUGUACAUAGGGAAGGUAGUAACUUGCAACUUGUCGAGGAACAAUGUGAGUGGUGGGUGUUUGGUUGGUGCCUUGGUGGCUGGUAGUGUUACAUUUUGCACUGGGAUUGCAUCUUGGCAAAUAGUUAUGUAAGAUAACUGAAUUCCGGUGGUUGUGGGCUCGUGUGGCAGCUCGGUAGGAACUAGGAACUUAGUGAGACGAUGGACCUUUUCUUUUGCUCAUGUCUUGUAAAAUGUCAGCAACGCCGAAUCCUGGCAGUGCUAAGCUGCAUGGCAUGCUAAACCAUGUUAUCGUUGUCAUGCUUCGGUCUGUGUAAGCUGCCAUCCACUUCUGAUGUGCGCAUUCGGUACUGUGGACAUACGAUUUGUGGA
Long non-coding RNA from Panicum virgatum (switchgrass), 3513 nucleotides. RefSeq lists it as uncharacterized. The record is from RefSeq and is a predicted model, not a curated record. NCBI's taxonomy places the organism in Eukaryota, Viridiplantae, Streptophyta, Magnoliopsida, Poales, Poaceae. The transcript has 7 exons.